CAGCCGCGGUUAUUCCAGCUCUCAAAAUGCAUAGAACCAUUGCUGCGGUUAAAAAGCUCGUAGUUGGAUCUGUGCCGGCUCCCCGGUCCAUCGCAAGAUGCGCACUGGUGGCAGCCGGCUUUCCUGUGGCUCACAGCCCGGCGGCCCUCACGGACAGCCGGUGCCUGGGGCUACAACUUUACUUUGAACAAAUCAGAGUGCUCAAAACAGGCGUUUCGCUUGAAUGUUCGUGCAUGGAAUAAUAGAAGAGGAUUUCGGUUCAAUUUUAUUGGUUUUAUUGACUGAGAUAAUGGUUAACAGAGACAAACGGGGGCAUUAGUAUUGCCACGUGAGAGGUGAAAUUCUUGGACCGUGGCAAGACUGACUACAGCGAAAGCAUUUGCCAAGAAUGUCUUCAUUAAUCAAGAACGAAAGUCAGAGGUUCGAAGGCGAUCAGAUACCGCCCUAGUUCUAACCGUAAA
This 461-nucleotide ribosomal RNA is filed under the name Pratylenchus neglectus. RNAcentral describes it as "SSU rRNA". It matches the Rfam family "Eukaryotic small subunit ribosomal RNA", at positions 571 to 1036 of the family's 1831-position model. Lineage: Eukaryota; Metazoa; Nematoda; Chromadorea; Rhabditida; Pratylenchidae. The record is from RNAcentral.